Molecule: long non-coding RNA, 302 nt
Filed under: Dermacentor andersoni
Lineage: Eukaryota; Metazoa; Arthropoda; Arachnida; Ixodida; Ixodidae
Description: uncharacterized LOC126534218
Source: RNAcentral
CCGCCGCGUGUACUGCGCAGCGACGCCGCUAGAGGCGCCACGACCCUUGUUGUGUUUCAAAGGUUGUCGAAUCAGAGGCCGGUUGGAAUUGAGUGUAAUUGGGUGGUGAGUCGCACGUCUCUCGGCGCUUUAGCACCAUGGCGGAAUGGAGCAGCCAGGCGCCCACAGGGAGGGCGGUUUCCGGUGAAAUUUCGGAAGAGCUGGAGAAUAUAAGAAUGAUGCUCGAGUACCUCCAACAGCUUUUGCUCGAGCUCCGGCAACUGUUCUGUCAGUCCUUGCACCGACUGUAUAGAAGACGCUAA